Molecule: long non-coding RNA, 1620 nt
Organism: Colius striatus (speckled mousebird)
Lineage: Eukaryota; Metazoa; Chordata; Aves; Coliiformes; Coliidae
Exons: 3
Source: RefSeq, a predicted model, not a curated record
GGGAGGAGGGGGGCUCCCCGCCCGCCCGCCCGCCUGCCUGCCCGCACGCACACAUACACACACAUACUGCCCUCCGCCGCCCCCGCCGCCGCGACAGGGAGAGUCCCGGUGCGUGAGGCGGCGCAGAGCCCGCCGGCAGGGCGGAACGGAGGACGGAAGGGAGGACGGACGGACGGGACUCUGUGCCCUCGGGCCGCGCAGCGGAAGGAUCGCGCGGAGGUAGCGCGGCCCCGUGGGCCCUCCGCGGCGCCUGCGCGGCUGUCGGACGGGCGGGCGGUUGAGCGGACGGUAGAUGCGGCCGUGUCUGCGCUGACUGAGGGGCGGCUCCGGUGAACGGCUCCCCGCCCCGACUCCUGCUGGGACGGAGCCGCCGGCGCCUACGUGGUCGGUGGCCGCGAAAGCUGGCAGGCUCUGUCUAGCAGUCCCACUGACGCAGCAGAAGACACAGAUGCUUGAAGUGCCAGGGAAGCCGAGAUGUUUUCUCACAGCUCCAUUUAUUCCUUUUUGUUCACUAGACUUGAGAACUGGACAGCUAAACUUGACGUGGGAUAAUGAAAGGAAUUUUCAUCUCCUGAGGCUUUCAAAUUAACCCAUGGUCAUUAGAAGGUGUGCUUCCUGAAAUGGAAUGGCCCGUUGUAUUCAAGAGCUCAGACUGGGUAAUCUGAGAGGCAAGUGCAUAAGGAACAGAGAAUGCCUUUGGGAACACCACAGAGAAUGGCAGAGUGAGAAAUGAGACAGGGGAUAUCUGACUGGUGGACAGAAAUUUGUCACUCACUGCUCCUGAGGCAGGGUUUGUGCUAAGAGAUGGUGAAGCAUAAGUUGCAGUGUGUGACCUGACACAUCAUCUCCUAGUAGCCACGUAUGAGCUCUGUGGUACAGAAUAUCUAUACUUGGCUGUUUUACCUGUUUUCUCUCAUGAUACUUGCAUUGUGUGAUUAAAAAAAAAGGGAAAUCAAGAUGAACACAUCUUUCUAUUGUUUCAGAGAUGCUUUUUGCAAAGGGUGCUUUGGCUUCUUGGUGUUUAAUCCAAACCACAUAAAAAUGGAUUUGCCCCAUCUGAAGUAUGAAAAGAAAUUUAAAAUAUCUGUUCCCAGUCCUCAUAACUGAAUGCCUCCUAGUAAAUCAUUUUACUCAACAGUUGCCUGGUUCUACUGUGAGAAAAGGGACAGCUCUUUUUUUCUUGGUUUAACUUUUAAUGACUAAUUUAAAUCCCAUUUAUAUGGAAUCCCUAUGAUUUUGAAAAUGCCUUCCGAAAUUAUCCACAACUACCUUUCUAAAAAAAAUACUUUAAAGAGCCUUACCUACAACAUUGCCUAGAAUUAUCUUGUCAGUUACAUAAAAGAACCCACUUGAAAUAAGUGAUAAAAAUAUACAGGGAAGGAAACGCACCUUCCAGUAACAAAUCAUCAUUAAAAGAGAACUUGAAGCAAACUGCUAGUUACCUGGUCAUGCUUAGACAAGCACAAGGUUAUUGAAACAUACAGCUUCCUUUCAGGCAAUUUAACUUGCACUGAAGGCAAAUUAUUGCCAUAAAAGCUCUGAAGCACGUUGCUCAGGCAUUUGAUACAAUUCUGUUGACUUCUAGAAGAUUACCCUGCACAGCGAUGUCAGUGGGAUCAG